UACGUAGGGCGCAAGCGUUGUCCGGAAUUAUUGGGCGUAAAGAGCUCGUAGGCGGCUUGUCACGUCGGAUGUGAAAGCCCGGGGCUUAACCCCGGGUCUGCAUUCGAUACGGGCAGGCUAGAGUGUGGUAGGGGAGAUCGGAAUUCCUGGUGUAGCGGUGAAAUGCGCAGAUAUCAGGAGGAACACCGGUGGCGAAGGCGGAUCUCUGGGCCAUUACUGACGCUGAGGAGCGAAAGCGUGGGGAGCAAACAGG
RNAcentral lists this ribosomal RNA (253 nucleotides) under uncultured bacterium. Its description in RNAcentral is "partial 16S ribosomal RNA". It matches the Rfam family "Bacterial small subunit ribosomal RNA", at positions 524 to 776 of the family's 1533-position model. The record is from RNAcentral.